RNAcentral lists this long non-coding RNA (500 nucleotides) under Homo sapiens (human). Its description in RNAcentral is "non-protein coding lnc-FAM207A-8:1". Lineage: Eukaryota; Metazoa; Chordata; Mammalia; Primates; Hominidae. The record is from RNAcentral.
AAACACACGCAGGUAGUAAACCGUUUUAUUGGAAACUGGUUAAAAAUUAAGGCACUCCAAGCUUUAUGGUUUCCUUGAGGUUACAGUUUUGUGGCUGCUCUUAGUGUAUUUCAGAAAAAAGCAGAUGGACGAAGACCGACCUUACAGACGUGGGUUUCUACACUGAGCGCAAGGGCUGACUACGCUGUAUUUCACAACCGAGCCCUAGCGCCAGCUCAGCACCCUACGCUCAGGAAGCGGAUUUUGCACACACACUACUGCAUUCAUACAGAGUUCACUGAAGUCUAUUACCAAGUGUCUUUUAUGAAUAAACAAUACAAAGUCCAAUUUUGAUGGCUGCUAUAAAAUACUUAGGAAUCUCUGCAAUACUUUACUACAAAUACAAAUGCCCAAGAGGUCAGGGAAAUCAGCCUGAAGAACUGGGUACAGGUUCUAUUCUUUGUGGAAAUUUCAGCCUAGGAAUGUUAUUCCCGGUACAGAUGUACACAGUCAAAAAGGCU